RNAcentral lists this ribosomal RNA (466 nucleotides) under uncultured bacterium. RNAcentral describes it as "SSU rRNA". It matches the Rfam family "Bacterial small subunit ribosomal RNA", at positions 26 to 518 of the family's 1533-position model. The record is from RNAcentral.
AGAACGAACGCUGGCGGCAGGCUUAACACAUGCAAGUCGAACGCUCGUAGCAAUACGGGAGUGGCAGACGGGUGAGUAACACGUGAGUAAUCUGCCCCUAGCUCUGGGAUAGCUCCGGGAAAACCGGGAUUAAUACCGGAUACGACCACUUUAGACAUCUGUUGUGGUGGAAAGAAUUUUGGCUAGGGAUGAGCUCGCGGCCUAUCAGCUUGUUGGUGGGGUAAUGGCCUACCAAGGCGACGACGGGUAGCCGGCCUGAGAGGGCGACCGGCCACACUGGGACUGAGACACGGCCCAGACUCCUACGGGAGGCAGCAGUGGGGAAUAUUGCGCAAUGGGCGAAAGCCUGACGCAGCGACGCCGCGUGGGGGAUGAAGGCCUUCGGGUUGUAACCCCUUUCAGCAGGGACGAAGCGAAGUGACGGUACCUGCAGAAGAGCGCCGGCUAACUACGCGCCAGCAGCCGC